Molecule: ribosomal RNA, 247 nt
Filed under: uncultured bacterium
Lineage: Bacteria
Description: partial 16S ribosomal RNA
Rfam family: Bacterial small subunit ribosomal RNA
Source: RNAcentral
UAGUCCACGCCCUAAACGAUGUCAACUAGUUGUUGGGGAUUCAUUUCCUUAGUAACGUAGCUAACGCGUGAAGUUGACCGCCUGGGGAGUACGGUCGCAAGAUUAAAACUCAAAGGAAUUGACGGGGACCCGCACAAGCGGUGGAUGAUGUGGAUUAAUUCGAUGCAACGCGAAAAACCUUACCUACCCUUGACAUGCCACUAACGAAGCAGAGAUGCAUUAGGUGCUCGAAAGAGAAAGUGGACAC